CGACAAGUCAGGCAAUUGCAGCAUUGAAGAUGUUGAGAGAAAACAAGAACAAGUUUGACCUGGUUAUCAGUGAUGUGCAUAUGCCAGACAUGGAUGGUUUUAAAUUGCUGGAGCUCGUGGGGCUUGAGAUGGACCUACCUGUCAUAAUGUUGUCGGCAAAUAGUGAUCCAAAGCUUGUGAUGAAAGGGAUUAGUCAUGGAGCUUGUGAUUAUUUGCUGAAGCCUGUUCGAAUGGAGGAGUUAAAGAACAUCUGGCAACAUGUAAUUAGGAGAAGAAAAUUCAAUAACAAGGAUAGGAAUCACUUUGACAACCAAGACAAGCUUCAUCAUGGAAGUAGUGAAGCCACAGCCGACCAGAAGCUUAAUAAAAAAAGGAAGGACCAGAAUGAAGACGAGGAUGAGGAUCGUGAUGAUAAUGAACAUGAAAAUGAGGAUCCGACAACCCAAAAGAAACCUCGGGUUGUUUGGUCAGUAGAGCUGCAUCGCAAGUUUGUUGCAGCUGUUAAUCAGUUAGGCAUUGACAAAGCUGUCCCUAAAAAGAUUCUCGAUUUGAUGAAUGUUGAAAAGCUUACAAGAGAAAAUGUUGCGAGCCAUCUACAGAAAUAUAGGCUUUACCUUAAAAGGAU
RNAcentral lists this unclassified non-coding RNA (625 nucleotides) under Hevea brasiliensis (rubber tree). Lineage: Eukaryota; Viridiplantae; Streptophyta; Magnoliopsida; Malpighiales; Euphorbiaceae. The record is from RNAcentral.